Columba livia (rock pigeon) is the source of this 1653-nucleotide long non-coding RNA. RefSeq lists it as uncharacterized. The record is from RefSeq and is a predicted model, not a curated record. The transcript has 3 exons. NCBI's taxonomy places the organism in Eukaryota, Metazoa, Chordata, Aves, Columbiformes, Columbidae.
GCCUCCCGCCGCGGGUGUGCGGUGCGGGCAGGAGCUGCAGGCGCUCCCGGGGGGUAGCAUGGGGGCGGCUGCCUCGGAAGAAACGCGGGGAGCCCGGUUUUCCUCCAGUGUCGUCGUAACAGAGCGUGGAUGUCGGUCCUGGGGGAAACACCGACUCCUCCUGCCCCGCUGGUGCGUGAGAACGGGCGGCGAGUGGGGCCCAGAGCCGGCAGGAUGCUCUGCCCCGGGGGCGCCUGGUCUCCCCCUACACCCCGUCCCCGCGCGGACCUUGAGCCGUAAUACGUGUUCCCAGCAGCGCAGCGUGAUGGUGAGAGGAGUCGAUGCUGUGAGAGCUGGGCCACGUUUGUCUCCAGCAAUGUUCCCACUGAUGAGCAUGAGCCAGCACUGGGCCCUUGUGGCCAGGAAGCCAAUGACACAUACCCUGGUGGUUUCUACCAUCGUCCUUUCCCGUCUGUGCCUCUUCGUGGUUUUCUCCUCUUCCCAAUGCACCGAAGGUCUCCUCUGCCGCUGACAUCCCGCAGAGCCGCCCUCUCCAGCCGGUUCAUUGCUGGGCGCUGAGCGUGGCAACGCCACCCGCGGCUGCACAGGAGCAGCGCCGCUGCGUUCCAUGGUUUCCCUUCACAAACCCAACCUCUCUUGAUUCGGUGGAUUCACAACACGGGCCGGGACCCGGGAACAUCUUCGAAGCACCAGUGACUGCGUUGGAAGCAUUUUGAGGACAGUUCGUUUGAAAAUGACCCCUUAAAAAUGAGAAAAAACAGGUGCCCGUUGAAAAAACUGUUUCCAAAAAAUUGGCUUUGGGCGAAGACGGAAACCGGCUCUUUGGGACACCUCGGAGGUUCUGUGGUGGGUAAAUAAUAGAACUGGCAACCCAACCCGGAGUCCUGAGCGCUCGAGGGUAAUUUAAAUGUUUGCUGUUGUGUUUACUUUGUGUGAAUUAAGGAAGAUUUGCAUGUAAAGCGCUUUGAGGAAGCAGCAACCCCCAAAGGCGCUGCGGGCAGUGGAACGUCUCCAGCGCCGCGGCGGAGCUGUUUGUCCCUGUCGCACUGUGUGGAGGUGCCGCUGGGACGCUGGGACUGGGGAGGUUAAAGGCAUCUCAGUGCUCUUUGUGCUGCAAUCCUGAUUUUGUGCCUAAAUGCAUCUGUGUUUGGGGCUGGGCUUCUGCUCGACCUGCCCCCUUGUCCUUCGUUUGGAUUGCGAUCCGGUCUAGCCACAAGCGAAUGAAACCUCGCUGUUCCUCUUGGAUUUUUAAAACUGGUUUUAUACAUCGCGCAAGCUGCAAAAACACCCGAACCAGCGAGAUGGGCGUUAGAUUGAAAGGCAAAUUAAAACAUAUUCAAAGGCAAGUGCGUGCAAACGUGGCUCUGGGUAGAUACAAAGCGCCGGCACGAAGUGUGUACGCAGAAAACCACCCAGAACCAAAAUGUGAAUCCCUUGGUGUCUGUAGGACCCCAGUUUAUAUUUGUAUUAACUUCUAUUAUUCUCGCAGACUGCGGUGCUGCCCCGGGGCUUAUUUCAAAUACAUCCCGAAGUAUUUUCUGGUUCUCAGUGAAGGGAAGAGCCCAAUUCCCCAAUGGGGCUCAAUGUUGAUGGUGCCCACAGAUAUUUUUGCAACUAGUCGUGUUAUAAAGCCAUUGUUUCAGUUGAAUCGCA